This 460-nucleotide ribosomal RNA is filed under the name uncultured bacterium. Its description in RNAcentral is "partial 16S ribosomal RNA". It matches the Rfam family "Bacterial small subunit ribosomal RNA", at positions 338 to 795 of the family's 1533-position model. The record is from RNAcentral.
CCUACGGGUGGCAGCAGUGAGGAAUAUUGGUCAAUGGACGAGAGUCUGAACCAGCCAAGUAGCGUGAAGGAUGACUGCCCUAUGGGUUGUAAACUUCUUUUAUAUGGGAAUAAAAUGUUCCACGUGUGGGUUUUUGUAUGUACCAUAUGAAUAAGGAUCGGCUAACUCCGUGCCAGCAGCCGCGGUAAUACGGAGGAUCCGAGCGUUAUCCGGAUUUAUUGGGUUUAAAGGGCGCGUAGGUGGAUUGUUAAGUCAGUUGUGCAAGUUUGGGGCUCAACCGUAAAAUUGCAGUUGAAACUGGCAGUCAUGAGUACAGUAGAGGUGGGCGGAAUUCGUGGUGUAGCGGUGAAAUGCUUAGAUAUCACGAAGAACCCCGAUUGGGAAGGCAGCUAACUGGACUGCAACUGACAGUGAGGCGCGAAAGUGUGGGUAUCAAACAGGAUUAGAGACACUUGUAGUC